This 468-nucleotide ribosomal RNA is filed under the name uncultured bacterium. RNAcentral describes it as "partial 16S ribosomal RNA". It matches the Rfam family "Bacterial small subunit ribosomal RNA", at positions 28 to 507 of the family's 1533-position model. The record is from RNAcentral.
GACGAACGCUGGCGGCGUGCUUAACACAUGCAAGUCGAACGGAAAGGCCCUGCUUUUGUUGGUUGCUCGAUUGGCGAACGGGUGAGUGACACGUGAGUAACCUGCCCUUGACUUUGGGAUAACUUCAGGAAACUGGGGCUAAUACCGGAUAGGAGCUCCUGCUGCGUGGUGGUGGUUGGAAAGUUUCGGCUGUGGUGGGUUGACUCGCGGGUUAACAGCUUUUUGGUGUGGUAGGGCGUUUCCAAGCUUUCCACGGGUACCCGGCCUGAGAGGGUGACCGGCCACAUUGGGACUGAGAGAAGGCCGAGACACGUACGGGACGCAGCAGUCGGGAACAUUGCACAGUGGGCGGAAGCGUGAUACAGCAACGCCGGGUGCGGGAUGACGGCCUUCGGGUUGUAAACAGCUUUCGACUGUGACGAAGCGUGAGUGACGGUAACUAGUAAAGAAGCAACGGCUAACUACGUG